GACGAACGCUGGCGGCGUGCUUAACACAUGCAAGUCGAACGGAAAGGCCCUGCUUUUGUGGGGUGCUCGAGUGGCGAACGGGUGAGUAACACGUGAGUAACCUGCCCUUGACUUUGGGAUAACUUCAGGAAACUGGGGCUAAUACCGGAUAGGAGCUCCUGCUGCACGGUGGGGGGUGGAAAGUUUCGGCGGUUGGGGAUGGACUCGCGGCUUAUCAGCUUGUUGGUGGGGUAGUGGCUUACCAAGGCUUUGACGGGUAGCCGGCCUGAGAGGGUGACCGGCCACAUUGGGACUGAGAUACGGCCCAGACUCCUACGGGAGGCAGCAGUGGGGAAUAUUGCACAAUGGGCGGAAGCCUGAUGCAGCAACGCCGCGUGCGGGAUGACGGCCUUCGGGUUGUAAACCGCUUUCGCCUGUGACGAAGCGUGAGUGACGGUAAUGGGUAAAGAAGCACCGGCUAACUACGUG
This 468-nucleotide ribosomal RNA is filed under the name uncultured bacterium. RNAcentral's name for it is "partial 16S ribosomal RNA". It matches the Rfam family "Bacterial small subunit ribosomal RNA", at positions 28 to 507 of the family's 1533-position model. The record is from RNAcentral.